This 403-nucleotide ribosomal RNA is filed under the name uncultured bacterium. RNAcentral describes it as "partial 16S ribosomal RNA". It matches the Rfam family "Bacterial small subunit ribosomal RNA", at positions 28 to 526 of the family's 1533-position model. The record is from RNAcentral.
GACGAACGCUGGCGGCGUGACUAAUACAUGCAAGUCGAACGCAGUGGGGACGGGUGAGUAACAAGUGGGUAACCUCCCAUAAGAGGGGAUAACACUUGGAAACAGGUGCUAAACCGAUACUGAUGGAUGGACCCGCGGUGCAUUGGCUAGUUGGGGGGGUAACGGCUCACCAAGGACACGAUGCAUAGCCGACCUGUGUGUGUGUGCAGCCACUAGUGGAUUUGGACACGGUCCAGCGUCCUACGGUAGGCAGCCGUAGCGAAUCUUCGGCAAUUGACGAAAUUCUGACCGAGCAACGCCGCGUGAGUUAAGAAGGUUUUCGGAGCGUAAAACUCUGUUGUUAUAGCAGCGGUAUCUAACCAGAAAGCCACGGCUAACUACGUGCCAGCAGCCGCGGUAAUUC